This is a non-coding RNA of Astyanax mexicanus (Mexican tetra), 46 nucleotides long. NCBI's taxonomy places the organism in Eukaryota, Metazoa, Chordata, Actinopteri, Characiformes, Acestrorhamphidae. The record is from Rfam.
AGACAGGUUCUAUUCAGAACUACUGAAAGACUGAAAAGUUUUUUCU